AGNAAGCAGCAGGCGCGCAAAUUACCCACUCCCGGCACGGGGAGGUAGUGACGAAAAAUAACGAUACGGGACUCAUCCGAGGCCCCGUAAUCGGAAUGAGCACACUUUAAACCCUUUAACGAGUAUCCAUUGGAGGGCAAGUCUGGUGCCAGCAGCCGCGGUAAUUCCAGCUCCAAUAGCGUAUAUUAAAGUUGUUGCGGUUAAAAAGCUCGUAGUUGGAUUUGUGUCCCACGCUGUCGGUUCACCGUUCGUCGGUGUUAACUGGCAUGCCCGUGCGGACGUCCUGCCGGUGGAUGCGGUCGACCGUGGGCCUCUGGUCUGCGCGUCGGCGGUCCGAUGCAAUCCUACCGCGGUGCUCUUUACCGAGUGUCGAGGUGGGCCGGCACGUUUACUUUGAACAAAUUAGAGUGCUCAAAGCAGGCAGUGGUUCGCCUGAAUAUUGUGUGCAUGGAAUAAUGGAAUAGGACCUCGGUUCUAUUUUGUUGGUUUUCGGAACUUGAGGUAAUGAUUAAUAGGGACAGACGGGGGCAUUCGUAUUGCGACGUUAGAGGUGAAAUUCUUGGAUCGUCGCAAGACGAACCUAAGCGAAAGCAUUUGCCAUGGGUGUUUUCAUUAGUCAAGAACGAAAGUUAGAGGUUCGAAGGCGAUCAGAUACCGCCCUAGUUCUAACCAUAAACGAUGCCAGCUAGCGAUCCGCCGAAGUUCCUCCGAUGACUCGGCGGGCAGCUUCCGGGAAACCAAAGCUUUUGGGUUCCGGGGGAAGUAUGGUUGCAAAGCUGAAACUUAAAGGAAUUGACGGAAGGGCACCACCAGGAGUGGAGCCUGCGGCUUAAUUUGACUCAACACGGGUAACCUCACCAGGCCCGGACACCGGAAGGAUUGACAGAUUGAGAGCUCUUUCUUGAUUCGGUGGGUGGUGGUGCAUGGCCGUUCUUAGUUGGUGGAGCGAUUGUCUGGUAUCA
RNAcentral lists this ribosomal RNA (962 nucleotides) under Pseudophasma scabriusculum. RNAcentral's name for it is "SSU rRNA". It matches the Rfam family "Eukaryotic small subunit ribosomal RNA", at positions 420 to 1322 of the family's 1831-position model. Lineage: Eukaryota; Metazoa; Arthropoda; Insecta; Phasmatodea; Pseudophasmatidae. The record is from RNAcentral.